GACGAAGGCCCCGAGCGUUAUCCGGAUUGAUUGGGCGUAAAGCGUUCAACGGUGGUUCGUCGCGUCGACGGUUAAAUCCGUGGGCUUAACCCACGGGCUGCGGUCGAUACGGACGAACUCGAGGACGGGAGAGGGGAACGGAACUACCGGUGUAGUAGUAAAAUGCGUUAAUAUCGGUAGGAACACCAAUAGCGAAGGCAGUUCCCUGGAACGAUCCUGACACUCAACGAACGAAAGCGUGGGUAGCGAAUGGG
Molecule: ribosomal RNA, 254 nt
Filed under: uncultured bacterium
Lineage: Bacteria
Description: partial 16S ribosomal RNA
Rfam family: Bacterial small subunit ribosomal RNA
Source: RNAcentral